RNAcentral lists this long non-coding RNA (871 nucleotides) under Olea europaea subsp. europaea. Lineage: Eukaryota; Viridiplantae; Streptophyta; Magnoliopsida; Lamiales; Oleaceae. The record is from RNAcentral.
UGCGAUAGCCACCUUAUUGUCACAAUAAACAUUCAUACAUUCAUUUUGUUGAACACCAAGUUCUUUUAAUAAUAACUUUAACCACAUUAUUUCACAAAUUCUAUGGGCCAACGCCCUAAAUUCAGCUUCAGCACUGCUUCUUGUUACAAUUGGUUGUUUCUUACUUCUUCAGGUGACCAAAUUUUCCCAAACAAAGGUACAAUAACCUGUUGUAGAUCUUCUGUCCAUUACUGACCCUACCCAAUCAGCAUCUGUGAAAGUUUCAAUCGAUCUUCCAGGAUUUCUCUUGAAGAAAAGUCCAAGUCACGGAGUCCCUUUAAGAUACCUCAAGAUUUGGUAGACAGGCUCCAUAUGCUCCUUAAAUGGAGCAUGCAUAAAUUGGCUUACAAUGCUAACAGCAAAAGCAAUGUCAGGCCUAGUGUGUGACAGGUAGAUUAGCUUUCCUACCAGGCGUUGAUAUCUCUCCCUAUCAACUGGUGUACUUCUUGAACAGUCCCCCAGUUUAUGAUUUGGAUUUAUAGGAACAUCUGCUGGUUUACUCCCUAACAUACCCAUUUCCUUUAGGAGAUCCAAGACAUAUUUUCUCCACUAAUAGAAAUCCCACUCUUAUUCUUUGCAACCUCAAGGCCAAGAAAGUAUCGUAGAUGGCCCAAGUCUUUCAUUUCGAACUCGGCAAAAAUAGCUUUCUUCAGUCUCUCUAUUUCUUCAUAGUUAUUGCCUUUCAAAACUAUAUCAUCCACAUAUACAAUCAGAAAAAUAAUUUUUUUCUUCCGAGUUCUUAUAGAACAAAGUAUGAUCAGAUUGUGCUUGCUUAUACCCUUGCUAACACACAGCCUUCAUAAAUCUUUCAACUAGGCUCGUGGGAAUUGCU